UNUCUUACCAGAAAGGGACGGCUAACUACGUGCCAGCAGCCGCGNUAAUACGUAGGUCCCGAGCGUUGUCCGGAUUUAUUGGGCGUAAAGCGAGCGCAGGCGGUUAGAUAAGUCUGAAGUUAAAGGCUGUGGCUUAACCAUAGUACGCUUUGGAAACUGUUUAACUNGAGUGCAGAAGGGGAGAGUGGAAUUCCAUGUGUAGCGGUGAAAUGCGUAGAUAUAUGGAGGAACACCGGUGGCGAAAGCGGCUCUCUGGUCUGUAACUGACGCUGAGGCUCGAAAGCGUGGGGAGCGAACAGGAUUAGAUACCCUGGUAGUCCACGCCGUAAACGAUGAGUGCUAGGUGUUAGGCCCUUUCCGGGGCUUAGUGCCGCAGCUAACGCAUUAAGCACUCCGCCUGGGGAGUACGACCGCAAGGUUGAAACUCAAAGGAAUUGACGGGGGCCCGCACAAGCGGUGGAGCAUGUGGUUUAAUUCGAAGCAACGCGAAGAACCUUACCAGGUCUUGACAUCCCGAUGCCCGCUCUAGAGAUAGAGUUUUACUUCGGUACAUCGGUGACAGGUGGUGCAUGGUUGUCGUCAGCUCGUGUCGUGAGAUGUUGGGUUAAGUCCCGCAACGAGCGCAACCCUUAUUGUUAGUUGCCAUCAUUCAGUUGGGCACUCUAGCGAGACUGCCGGUAAUAAACCGGAGGAAGGUGGGGAUGACGUCAAAUCAUCAUGCCCCUUAUGACCUGGGCUACACACGUGCUACAAUGGCUGGUACAACGAGUCGCAAGUCGGUGACGGCAAGCUAAUCUCUUAAAGCCAGUCUCAGUUCGGAUUGUAGGCUGCAACUCGCCUACAUGAAGUCGGAAUCGCUAGUAAUCGCGGAUCAGCACGCCGCGGUGAAUACGUUCCCGGGCCUUGUACACACCGCCCGUCACACCACGAGAGUUUGUAACACCCGAAGUCGGUGAGGUAACCUUUUAGG
Molecule: ribosomal RNA, 970 nt
Filed under: uncultured bacterium
Lineage: Bacteria
Description: bacterial SSU rRNA
Rfam family: Bacterial small subunit ribosomal RNA
Source: RNAcentral